Molecule: ribosomal RNA, 451 nt
Filed under: uncultured bacterium
Lineage: Bacteria
Description: bacterial SSU rRNA
Rfam family: Bacterial small subunit ribosomal RNA
Source: RNAcentral
AACGAACGCUGGCGGCAGGCCUAACACAUGCAAGUCGAACGCUCUCUUCGGAGGGAGUGGCGCACGGGUGAGUAACGCGUGGGAACCUACCCUGGGGUACGGAAUAACAGCGGGAAACUGCUGCUAAUACCGUAUACGCCUUUAGGGGGAAAGAUUUAUCGCCCUGGGAUGGGCCCGCGUCCGAUUAGUUAGUUGGUGGGGUAACGGCCUACCAAGGCUUCGAUCGGUAGCUGGUCUGAGAGGAUGAUCAGCCACACUGGGACUGAGACACGGCCCAGACUCCUACGGGAGGCAGCAGUGGGGAAUCUUGGACAAUGGGGGCAACCCUGAUCCAGCCAUGCCGCGUGAGUGAAGAAGGCCUUAGGGUUGUAAAGCUCUUUCAGUGGUGACGAUGAUGACGGUAGCCACAGAAGAAGCCCCGGCUAACUCCGUGCCAGCAGCCGCGGUAAUU